UACAGAGGGGGCAAGCGUUAUUCGGAAUUAUUGGGCGUAAAGGGCGCGCAGGCGGCCGCUCAGGUGGAAGGUGAAAUCCCCCGGCUCAACCGGGGAACUGCCUUCCAAACUGAGUGUCUUGAGGCCGGGAGAGGUGAGCGGAAUUCCCAGUGUAGCGGUGAGAUGCGUACAUAUUGGGAGGAACACCGGUGGAGAAGGCGGCUCACUGGACCGCAACUGACGCUGAGGCGCGAAAGCGUGGGGAGCAAACGGGAUUAGAUACCCCGGUAGUUCACGCCGUAAACGAUGAGUGCUUGGUGUAGCGGGUAUCGACCCCUGCUGUGCCGAAGCUACCGCAUUAAGCACUCCGCCUGGGGAGUACGGUCGCAAGGCUGAAGACUCAAAGGAAUUGACGGGGGCCCGCACAAGCGGUGGAGCAUGCGGUUUAAUUCGAAGCAACGCGAAGAACCUUACCUGGGUUUGAACUGCAGUGGAAAGACGCAGAGAUGCGUCCCCCUCUUCGGAGGCUGCUGUGGAGGUGCUGCAUGGCUGUCGUCAGCUCGUGUCGCGAGAUGUUGGGUUAAGUCCCGCAACGAGCGCAACCCUUGCUCAUAGUUGCCAUCAGUUCGGCUGGGCACUCUAUGGGGACUGCCGGUGACAAACCGGAGGAAGGUGGGGAUGACGUCAAGUCCUCAUGGCCUUUAUGUCCAGGGCCACACCCGUGCUACAAUGGACAGUACAAAGAGUUGCGCUCCCGCGAGGGGGAGCUAAUCUCAUAAAGCUGUUCUCAGUUCGGAGUGCAGUCUGCAACUCGGCUGCAUGAAGUUGGAAUCGCUAGUAAUCGCGGAUCAGCAUUCCGCGGUGAAUACGUCUCCCGGGCCU
This 861-nucleotide ribosomal RNA is filed under the name uncultured bacterium. Its description in RNAcentral is "SSU rRNA". It matches the Rfam family "Bacterial small subunit ribosomal RNA", at positions 524 to 1381 of the family's 1533-position model. The record is from RNAcentral.